This 253-nucleotide ribosomal RNA is filed under the name uncultured bacterium. RNAcentral's name for it is "partial 16S ribosomal RNA". It matches the Rfam family "Bacterial small subunit ribosomal RNA", at positions 524 to 776 of the family's 1533-position model. The record is from RNAcentral.
UACAGAGGUCCCGAGCGUUGUUCGGAUUCAUUGGGCGUAAAGGGUUCGUAGGCGGCGGGGCCAGUCUGAUGUGAAAUCCCGGGGCUCAACCCCGGAACUGCAUUGGAUACUGCCUUGCUAGAGUACUGGAGAGGGAACUGGAAUUUACGGUGUAGCAGUGAAAUGCGUAGAGAUCGUAAGGAAGGCCGGUGGCGAAGGCGAGUUCCUGGACAGUUACUGACGCUGAGGCACGAAGGCCAGGGGAGCAAACGGG